This is an RNA transcript of Capsicum annuum, 1228 nucleotides long. It is a transcript of the gene named remorin, with no coding region annotated. Lineage: Eukaryota; Viridiplantae; Streptophyta; Magnoliopsida; Solanales; Solanaceae. The transcript is spliced from 3 exons. The record is from RefSeq and is a predicted model, not a curated record.
UCAAAACCGUCAGUGAAUAAUUUUUUUUAAAAAAUAAUCUUACAGAGUCUUUUAAAAAAAUUACAUUACGCCACUAAACUCCCAUUUUUUUAAUCUACCGUCGAUCACCUUUUUCUCAAAACCCUAGCUCUAUUUUCCCUCUAAAAAUUAGCAUCUUGUUGAUUAUAGAAGUAUUGAUUGCUCUUUAUGAGAGAAUUGUCUCUAGGAAAUUGAUAGUUUAUCCCCAGUUGCUUCACUUGAUUAUGUCAUUUGCACAUUUGGUCAUUCCUUUUUUCCCUGAAUUUGAGAGAGUAAUUAGAGCUUUCUUCAUACGUAAAUUACUAAAUGACAGUAUUUACCACUUGUUGAUUAUGAAUUCGGAUUGCUGUGACAAUGUAUUCAUUUGCUUCACUUACAACCUCCUUUAAUCGGGAUAUGUUGACUUAAUUUUUGUGGGUUUAUGUAUUACUGAUUAUGUCAGUUGAUAGGACUCAGAAGAAGGUAUCUGCAAUUGGUGCGAACAGCAAGAAAGCAAACUUGGAGGUUGAGUUCAAAAAGAUGGAGCACAAGGACACCCAUUCUCUAUCUGUGAUGUUUUCAUUGUUUCUUUCUGAUGGUUUCGCUUGAGAACUUCUUGUAUUCUUAGCUGAGGAAUAUUCUCUCAAGAAGUUUCCAUCCUAUUAGUGAUCUGUAUCUUGUUGGGAGUAGGAAGAGUUGAAGACAAAGAAGGCACAAUAUACUGAAAAAAUGAAAAACAAAACCACCGGCAACAUGCCUUUGCAGCACCUCUACCAGCAUAAUCUGACUUCGACAACACCUUCACUAGCAGCGCCCUCAAAUCUGGCCAGAACCAUGCCUUAAUACCUAGUACGGCACUAGGUGUUAAGUGGGAUUGCUACUAAAUGUGAAGGAACAAAUUAAUGUGGAAUAUGACAACCCGCAUUCUUGAAGGCCUGACAGAUCAGCCCACCGUGAUGAUGUUGAGGAGGAUCGUGUGGCAAGUACAUCGUCAUAUUAGUUGUUGAAUUAGAUGCUAAAUUAUGUACUUUAUGAUAAUUUAUAAGAAUUAGUAAGUAUUUUGUAAAUGUAUGAGAACUUUGAAGUAGUUUGAAAUAGAAUUGUGUGACUUAUGACAGUAUGUCUUUUUCAUUCAAUUUAAGUACUUAAAGUUGAUUUUGAUGUAUUGUGGAUUGAAGGAUAUUUAAAAUGAGUUUGUUGUAGUUUGAUUGAUAGUUGAUAGCUUUUGAGC